GAUAUACUCCAUAGAUUAGAGACACUGGAAUGUUCUUUAGUCGAAAGUUCUGGCGCCUUAGGAUGGAUCUGCGGUCGAUUAGGUUGUUGUUGGGGUAACGGCCCAACAAGCCUGUAAUCGAUACGGGUUGUGGGAGCAAGAGCCCGGAGAUGGAAUCUGAGACACGAUUCCAGGCCCUACGGGGCGCAGCAGGCGCGAAAACUUUACAAUGCAGGAAACUGUGAUAAGGGAACUCCGAGUGCCCGUAUACGCGGGCUGUCCAGGUGUUUAAAAAUCAUCUGAAGAAAGGGCCGGGCAAGACCGGUGCCAGCCGCCGCGGUAAUACCGGCGGCUCGAGUGGUGGCCACUAUUAUUGGGCUUAAAGCGUCCGUAGCUGGACCGAUAAGUCUCUUGGGAAAUCCGCCGGCUCAACCGGCGGGCGUCUAAGGGAUACUGUUAGUCUAGGGACCGGGAGAGGUGAGAGGUACUCCGGGGGUAGGAGUGAAAUCCUGUAAUCCCCGGGGGACCACCUAUGGCGAAAGGCAUCUCACCAGAACGGCUCCGACAGUGAAGGACGAAAGCUGGGGGAGCGAACCGGAUUAGAUACCCGGGUAGUCCCAGCCGUAAACUAUGCGCGUUAGGUGU
RNAcentral lists this ribosomal RNA (624 nucleotides) under uncultured archaeon. RNAcentral's name for it is "bacterial SSU rRNA". It matches the Rfam family "Archaeal small subunit ribosomal RNA", at positions 146 to 774 of the family's 1478-position model. The record is from RNAcentral.